This 214-nucleotide long non-coding RNA is filed under the name Olea europaea (common olive). Its description in RNAcentral is "long non-coding RNA (OEUR_LNC013816)". Lineage: Eukaryota; Viridiplantae; Streptophyta; Magnoliopsida; Lamiales; Oleaceae. The record is from RNAcentral.
AUGAUUUUCCCCCGACACUCGGUGACAGUCCGAUCACUCACUCGAGCAUAUAUUCUGGCACCGUGUACUCGUUACCCAUAUGUGCGAGCGACUGAUACUCUAUGGUAACGGCACCCAGGAACUCGGUGUUUAAUAUGACUCGACCAUGGAUAUCAAAUGAUUUUGGAUGUCUUUGAGCUCGAUCUCGCAGCAAGUCCAUGGCCAGGUCGAUGUG